GGUUGCCUACGGGGGGCAGCAGUCGGGAAUAUUGCGCAAUGGAGGAAACUCUGACGCAGUGACGCCGCGUAUAGGAAGAAGGUUUUCGGAUUGUAAACUAUUGUCGUGAGGGAAGAAAUUGACAGUACCUCAGGAGGAAGCUCCGGCUAACUAUGUGCCAGCAGCCGCGGUAAUACGUAGGGGGCUAGCGUUAUCCGGAAUUACUGGGCGUAAAGGGUGCGUAGGUGGUUUCUUAAGUCAGAGGUGAAAGGCUACGGCUCAACCGUAGUAAGCCUUUGAAACUGGGGAACUUGAGUGCAGGAGAG
Molecule: ribosomal RNA, 305 nt
Filed under: uncultured bacterium
Lineage: Bacteria
Description: bacterial SSU rRNA
Rfam family: Bacterial small subunit ribosomal RNA
Source: RNAcentral